UUACCAUGCAGUCGAGCGGUAAGGCCCUUUCGGGGGUACACGAGCGGCGAACGGGUGAGUAACACGUGGGUGAUCUGCCCUGCACUCUGGGAUAAGCCUGGGAAACUGGGUCUAAUACCGGAUAUGAGCUCCUGUCGCAUGGCGGGGGUUGGAAAGGUUUACUGGUGCAGGAUGGGCCCGCGGCCUAUCAGCUUGUUGGUGGGGUAAUGGCCUACCAAGGCGACGACGGGUAGCCGGCCUGAGAGGGCGACCGGCCACACUGGGACUGAGACACGGCCCAGACUCCUACGGGAGGCAGCAGUGGGGAAUAUUGCACAAUGGGCGAAAGCCUGAUGCAGCGACGCCGCGUGAGGGAUGACGGCCUUCGGGUUGUAAACCUCUUUCAGCAGGGACGAAGCGAAAGUGACGGUACCUGCAGAAGAAGCACCGGCCAACUACGUGCCAGCAGCCGCGGUAAUACGUAGGGUGCGAGCGUUGUCCGGAAUUACUGGGCGUAAAGAGCUCGUAGGCGGUUUGUCGCGUCGUCUGUGAAAACCCGCAGCUCAACUGCGGGCUUGCAGGCGAUACGGGCAGACUUGAGUACUGCAGGGGAGACUGGAAUUCCUGGUGUAGCGGUGAAAUGCGCAGAUAUCAGGAGGAACACCGGUGGCGAAGGCGGGUCUCUGGGCAGUAACUGACGCUGAGGAGCGAAAGCGUGGGUAGCGAACAGGAUUAGAUACCCUGGUAGUCCACGCCGUAAACGGUGGGCGCUAGGUGUGGGUUUCCUUCCACGGGAUCCGUGCCGUAGCUAACGCAUUAAGCGCCCCGCCUGGGGAGUACGGCCGCAAGGCUAAACUCAAAGGAAUUGACGGGGGCCCGCACAGCGGCGGAGCAUGUGGAUUAAUUUCGAUGCAACGCGAAGAACCUUACCUGGGUUUGACAUAUAACCGGAAACACCCUAGAGAUAGGUGCCCCCUUGUGUCGGUAUACAGGUGGUGCCAUGGGCUGUCGUCAGCUCUCGGUCCUGGAGAUGUUGGGGUUAAGUUCCCGCCACCAAGCGCAAUCCUUUGGUCCUUGGUUGUGCAGGCCGUAUUGGCCGGGAAUCUGCAAGGAAACUGUCCGGGGUCAAACCUCCUGAGGGG
This 1121-nucleotide ribosomal RNA is filed under the name uncultured bacterium. RNAcentral's name for it is "bacterial SSU rRNA". It matches the Rfam family "Bacterial small subunit ribosomal RNA", at positions 49 to 1170 of the family's 1533-position model. The record is from RNAcentral.